UCUAGCUUUGCAACUUCAAAUGCGGUGGUGGUGGUGUUGGGGGGGUGUGGGGCGCUCAAUACCAUCUCUAAAACGGCUAUUCAUGGGGGAGAUUUAUGACUUGUUUGAUUAAAGUUUCUGCUGCCUUCUAUACUGAGUUUCUGUGAUCUGUCCUCGUACUCCGUCCAUUUAUGAAAAUACAAUGUCAGUGUUUCUCCCUUUCUCCCACUUUCUUUCUCUACUAUAUGUAUCAGCACAUUCAAAACGUUAGGAAGACUGUUGAAGUUUUUUGACCAAAUAGAUCCCUUGCCACGGAAAGCUUCUGUUUUGUCUGUUAAAGAAAAAAUUAAGUCAAUUUGUGUAUAUUAAAGAGGAAGCAGUCAAAAGGUUUUUGAGAUGUUCAUGUUCCUUUCUUAAAAUCACAUUCUAGAAUGAUUACGUCAUUUUUAAACUCCAACGAAUUCAGUUUAACUUUUUCUUGUGAGUUGCUUCCAUUUUCCAUACUCAAGGAUGGCGAAUUUCCAGUGUUCUGAUUUGUGACAACAUCUUCUGCUGAGGUAAUUUGUGACAGUGUCAAGGAGUUUGUUCAGCGGAGUAAAUCCCUCCUUUUUGUCAGUAAUGGAACCAACCAGAGUCAGAGUGAUUCGUGGAAUUCAAAGUUUACUUGCCCCGAGAGGUUGCCUAAAGCACGAAUUGAUUGUGGUCUGGAACGUCUAGAAGCUCUCUUGUCGUACGUGACUCUUGAGUUCUGGGCAUAUCAUCCUCACCUUGCUGUUGCAUAUUUCCAUGUUUCUCAUCCAAAGAAGGUUCAAUUGCAUCGGAAAACCGAAAGCUAUUGUAAGGAUGGAUGAUUUAAAUUAUAAGGAAUCUCAAUGUAAGAUGGCUGCUUAAUCAGGUGCAUGUGCUUUUUCAUUGUUUCUCAAUUUUGAAUGGCACCAUGGGG
RNAcentral lists this long non-coding RNA (922 nucleotides) under Eucalyptus grandis. RNAcentral's name for it is "long non-coding RNA (EGRA_LNC005285)". Lineage: Eukaryota; Viridiplantae; Streptophyta; Magnoliopsida; Myrtales; Myrtaceae. The record is from RNAcentral.